AUCGACGGGAUGGUUUGGCACCUCGAUGUCGGCUCGUCGCAUCCUGGGGCUGGAGUCGGUCCCAAGGGUUGGGCUGUUCGCCCAUUAAAGCGGUACGCGAGCUGGGUUUAGAACGUCGUGAGACAGUUCGGUCCCUAUCCGCUGUGCGCGUAGGAGUCUUGAGAAGGGCUGUCCCUAGUACGAGAGGACCGGGACGGACGAACCUCUGGUGUGCCAGUUGUUCUGCCAAGGGCAUGGCUGGUUGGCUACGUUCGGGAGGGAUAACCGCUGAAAGCAUCUAAGCGGGAAGCCUGCUUCGAGAUGAGGACUCCCACCCACUUGAUGGGGUAAGGCUCCCAGUAGACGACUGGGUUGAUAGGCCAGAUCUGGAAGCCCGGUAACGGGUGGAGGUGACUGGUACUAAUAGGCCGAGGGCUUGUCCUCAGUUG
RNAcentral lists this ribosomal RNA (428 nucleotides) under Streptomyces sp. UH6. RNAcentral describes it as "partial 23S ribosomal RNA". It matches the Rfam family "Bacterial large subunit ribosomal RNA", at positions 2504 to 2925 of the family's 2925-position model. Lineage: Bacteria; Bacillati; Actinomycetota; Actinomycetes; Kitasatosporales; Streptomycetaceae. The record is from RNAcentral.